This is an RNA transcript of Gambusia affinis (western mosquitofish), 5498 nucleotides long. It is a transcript of the gene named consortin, connexin sorting protein b, with no coding region annotated. The transcript has 12 exons. NCBI's taxonomy places the organism in Eukaryota, Metazoa, Chordata, Actinopteri, Cyprinodontiformes, Poeciliidae. The record is from RefSeq and is a predicted model, not a curated record.
ACGAAGUAUAAAUCAGAAGGUAGUGCAUUAACAUUAGCAUAAACAUUAGCAGUGUACUGCCCCCCACCCACAUUAGCAGUAGCCUUUUUCCUAAAAUAAGCUUUUUAGCCAUUUGUUUAUUUAUUAGCCAUGUUUAGCACACUGAAAGGAGGAAGUCAAUGUAAGACACCAUGCUGGUUAUAGUCCAUAUGCCACUGGCAGCUUUAGCAUUUUGGCUAAUUUUAGCUUAUACGGUGCAGGUCAUAUUUGCCGUUUCUCCUGUAAUCUUCUGCCCUGCUUCAUCUCCUUAACUCUUCAUCUGUUGUUAUGUAAGCACCGACACCACCAGGGGCCAGAGGGCCACAUCUGCCAGAAGAUGGCAGCAUCGGACGCACGCAGAAUGAAUUAAAUAACCAGCUCCUGUUGGGGAGAUGUGUAUAUUUAUUUAUAUGUGUUUGCGGUGAGAAGAAGCAGGGGGGAAAAAAUCCCCAGAUAGAAGCGAAACAAGCAGGCUGGAAGAGUGCGUGACACAGACGGAAGUUUGACCGGAUUCAGCCGCGGGUAGAGGAGAGGGAACGCCGCGACGCUGAUCCAGGGCGUUGAUGUUAGGACAUACAGCCAACCGAGAGGCACCAUCCAGCAGACGACUGGUGGAAGGAAUUCAAGCGAAGAGGAAGGCAGAAAUCCAGCUGGAGUUGGCCUCAGCGCCACAUUUAUGAACAUUUCAGUUUCCCUUUGUUCUUCUGGCCACCUUGGAGAGCCGGUGCAGGAUUAAAUACACACCCCAUCCACAGUGGAUCACUGGAGCGCCCUUUAAAUCUGCCCCCACCCUCCUCCUCCCACAGGCUGUAUGGCAGAGUAAACUUUCCAAAGUAAUUUCCUUAUCUCUGCUCUGAGGAAGUGUUCCAAUAAACUCAGCAGUUCAUGUUUUCCCAAGAGGGCUGAAACUUAGGGAACCUGCCUGGAACGGGUUCUCUCAGCAACCUUAGGAACUUUAAGGGUAAACUCUGGCCGCGGAGCACGGGAUGGGGAACAAAAACGCCGUUCCACCCAGAGGUCCGGGAGGCGGGGUCACUGGGAAAGACGACACAGCAUUGGUCAGCAGCGCUACAGGAGGCGUCACCGCAGAUAAAGCUCAGAGCCCCAGUCCGGAGCUGCUGUCCUCCCUGCAGGCCCUGGGAGAAAAUGACGACUACACUCUGCUGCCGCAAUCCCUGCACCAGAUUGCAGAGACCUACUCACUGAGGCAGGACCACCAGUGGGCCGUUCAGUUCCUCCGGUUGGAGAAGCUGUACCAUGAACGUCUGCUCUCUAAUCUCACAACCCUGCAGGAGAAAUGGGAGAGGGAGUUCAAUGAGAAGGAGGACGGUGAGACCCGGGGGCCUCCGGAAGAAGACAGCGUCAGCCGGAAACACAUUGAGAAGCUGAGCCACAUCUGCAGGACACACCACAGACCGUCCUUCAGCCUGGACCAGAAAAACCUGAACGCAGCGUUAAUAGACACUCGGAUUGGGACUGAAACUCUGCAGCCUCAUCAUGGUAAAGCCAACAAGCCUGAGAACACCCAGAGCAUGAUGUCCCAGUCAGACUUUUCCUCACCACAGCGGGAGGAAGAGGAAGAGCGGCAGGACGAAGAAGAGGCCCUCAAGAAAGGGCAGGAAGUGGAAGCAGAGGAGCAGGAAGUGGAACCAGAGGAGCAGGAAGUGGAACCUGAGGAGCAUGCGGCGCACGGCGAGGACACACCGGAGGAAGAGGAGGUGAAGGUGGAGUGGCCGGCAGGAGUAGCGCAGGCCUCGGACAAAGACCUGGCCAAACUCUCCAUCGCUGAAGGCAGCUCCUCCCCGGACGGCCUGGUGUCCAUCCUGAAGAGGAGGCGAGCCUCGCUGGACGGACUUCCUCCCCUGAGCCCCGCCACCACCGCCGACAAACAGACCUCCAAACGCAAAGUUCGCUUCAGCGAACCAGAGGACGGCGUAGACCAAGAUGACAUCGGAGGAGACUCCUGUCUCAUCCUGCUGCUGCUGUGUCUGAUCACCGUGGUGAUCAGCAUAGGUGGGACUGCGUUCUACUGCACUCUGGUGGACACUUACUCCAACAUCUGCACCGACUUCACUCAGAACGUCGACUUCUACGUCACGAACGCGCGGGGUUUCCUGGAAGGCCUCGGACUGUGGCUCCCCCUGCAGACUUAGGGCCAGCCGGGAUUCGAGGCUCUCUGGGCGUGAUGGAAGAGGCUUCUGGUCGCCGGCGGUGACGGGAAAACCUGGCGGGACCUCCGGAAACAGGGACAACCCCCCGCUGCUGCUGGUUCGCAGAGUCUGAAUCUCACUGUUUACUGGACAUAUGGACUGAUAGCUGCACUGAUUGCUGGGUCCUGUCGUUGAGUUGAUCUGCCUUUCCUCUCCUGCGACUCCCCCCACUCGGCUCCUUCAGACUAGCCAACAGCAUUUAGCAAACACCUGGUGGAACCGAGUAUCUGCGGAGCUCAUUAUAGGAGAUACUUCUCAGUGAAAACUCUGGUGAAAACGUUGUUAAAGGGUUAAUAGAGGAGCCAUGUUGGGAUGACUUCCUGAAGGCGGUGCUUCAGAAAGAGCAGGAGCUUCUUAAAGAGACAGAGACGGAAUUUCAAGGCGUUAAAUUACAAGGUAAAUAUUUUCUAAGUCAUAUUUGAUAUACAUGAUAUUCCUAUAAUAACUGAUGGUAACACAGUUAUAUAAUUGUGCUGUAAAAAUUAGAAAAUACAUAUCACUGCCCUUUUUAAUUUCCAUUUUACUCUUGAUUUUAAAUACUUUCACUGUUCUACGUUUUACCAAACAGGCGUUUCUUAAUACAAGACUCACCUGUAUUUUCUUUGUCUCUUUGAUAUUAAAAUCUGCUUCCAUCCAUGAGCCGGGUUCUGCUGAACGUUCCUCCCUGUCAACAACACUUUGUUUCUCUCCGCCGUCGCCAUGUGCUUGCCAAACACAGACCAGCACAUCCGGAGGGAACGUCACGACUCUUUCCUGGGCUUCUGGGUUUUAGGAGGAAGAAUCUGGAGACGUUUAUUUCCCUCCAGCGAACACAGCAGAACGUGCUCCACAAACCGCGCAGGAGCUUCUGCUGGCUGUUAGAUCCCAACAUCACAGGAGGCAGUCUGGCCACGAGCCGGUGGGAGCCAAAGUCAGGAAGAGGUCAAGCUAUUACUAAGGAAUUACUGUCUGGCUAAAACACUUAGGGCAUGACAGGCAGUAUUUCCACUGGAACGCAGCACUGGUUGGCAGAAUGCCCUGGAAAAAGGUCAAGCAUGCACAGAGAAACGCUUUCUGUGUUUUUGAUACUUUGAAUCCAAAUACUGAAUAUUUUUGGUGGUUCUAUUUGAAAUAUGGCUUUGAAUGAACAAGUGUGUUAAAUGUUUCCAAACGUUACAUUAAUCUGCUUUUAAAUUUCUUCCAGCUUGAUUUGGAGAGUGUGUUUUUGAUUUUGUCAUGAAAAUUAAUGAGAAUAAAUAUCUACAUUUGAAACAUUUAUUUUGUAUUUUCUUUGUCUCUUUGAUAUUAAAAUCUGCUUCUAUGCCAUUCAGGUGACAAAAAGUAUUAAGACCAAAAGAGUCUGUAAAAAGUGAUUUUUUUUUUUUUUUUUUUUUUACAAUACUGUACUUUUCUCACCAUACAUCAAAUAAGGAGUUUCCAGUAACGGUACAGAAACCCAGCGGACAUUAAAGUCAUUAAGUGUCUGAAAGAAUGCUGUGAUUUGUCGACUAUUACUGUCUGGCAGAGUGACUUAUAUUGGGAGUAAUGAGAUUUUAUUGGAAGGCAGAGUCUGCCAGGGAAGAGGAGGCAGAUUUAGGAGUCGAUCAGUGGACGGGAUGAGAUGAAAUUCUGCUCUGCUGAGGCUGCAAGCUGAGGAACAUUAAAGCAAACAUGGAUCUCUUCAAUUUCCCCCGGAGUGAUUCAGGGCGACUCCAGUGAAUUUGGAGCAGUUUUUCAGUGAAGAGACAAUGUGGCCUUCUAAAAGUAUUCACGUGUUUUGGAGGUUUUUUUCUUUUGUUUUUUUGUUUUUUACAAUUUGUCAUGUUGCAACCUUAAACCUUUUCGUUGUGUUGCCUGUUCGUGAACUACGGCCAUUUCAAGUGUCUUGCCACAACACAAAAUACUGGUCCAAAACAUAGGAUCCAUUCUCAUUACCUUUUGAAUUUAACAUGUAAAAACCUUAAGGAAGAACUGAAAAAACUUAGGGUGUUUUCACACCUGAUAGUCCGGUAGACACGGUUCGAUUGGAAUAUUUCUUACAUUUUCAGCUGCUCUGGUUCCCUCUUCCGUCGCACUGUCAAGUCAACCAAACCCUUUAAAAAACCUGUUCCCCUCCUCGCCUGUGGUGGCGCUGUACCAAGAACAACUGAAGCAAACGACAUAAAAACCUCCAAAGAAGACAACGAAGAGCACAACGUCUUUCCUCGCAAAUGUAAACAAAACGAAGUGGUGUCAAAUUUUAGUAGUUGUAGGAUUUCUCCUUUGUCUUUGGUAAAAGACAAUAACCCGUUUAGCCCGCUAGCACUUUUGCUUUGGUUGUAUUUACCCAGAAUGCCCUGUGUCCGCUUGGCCUUCAUAUGCAUUCAAACCAAACCAGAGUUCACGUCAACCGAACCGAGACCGAGGUUUGCAGGCGGACCAGAGUUCACCCUGUUCUCUGCAGACAAUAUAUUUUUGUCCUACCACAGUUUACAAUGAAUUACAGAUGAUAAAAUACAAUGGCAUAAGGACACUGUAGAUAGAAAAAUAAGAAUAUAUUUGGGCUAAAAGAACUCAGAAAUUUUGAGAUUAAUUUGAAACAUUUAGUAUUAAAACAAAGGGGAAAAUUCAGAGCGUAAAAAAAACCCUCAGAUAUUUUGAGAUUAAUUUCAGAAAGUUUUAGUUUUUUUCCUGAAAUUUCUGAGUUUAGAAUGUUGACCAUUUCCGGUGGAAAUGUACUCAUCCGUUUUUGUUUUCUGUCUACAAUGACCUAUAUGCUGUCGUAUUUUACCAGAUUUUCUUGUGACAAAAUUUAUUGUAAUCUCUGCUGGGACAAAUAUGUUGACUACAGAAAAAUUCAGGAACUAAAAAGCAUCAAGAGAUUUAAAAAACACACGUCAUUUUUAAAGAGCCCCGAAAUCUAAAUUUUUAAACCAACUUUCAUGGAUGUAAAUUGUAAAAUGUGAUGUCUGACUAAUCUUGUGUAUAUUAUAUAUUCAUUUUAAAUGGUCCUAUAUUAUUUUUGUAUUUCAUAAAUCAGGAAGUUAUAAACAAAUGGUGUUCUUAGACAGCUGUUGAACUUUUAAAUGAUCCAGAAACUGAUUGUACGUAAUGUCAGCUGCUAAAAUACAGCAGGAAUAUAGAGCGGUAAAAACCGUUGCUUAUGGACUGAUUUCAUAUUAUGACUGUUAGCGUAUUUUAAGUUGUUUCCUCUUGGUGAUGGAGGAAUCUGUACCUGCUGUAUGUAGGUCAGCCAUCCUGCAGCAGCUGUGGCUGUUUUGAUCAGAGACGGACCUUAAUGAAUCGAUUCAU